RNAcentral lists this ribosomal RNA (1367 nucleotides) under Candidatus Kaiserbacteria bacterium RIFCSPLOWO2_12_FULL_50_10. Its description in RNAcentral is "bacterial SSU rRNA". It matches the Rfam family "Bacterial small subunit ribosomal RNA". The record is from RNAcentral. Lineage: Bacteria; Candidatus Kaiseribacteriota.
AACUUAGAGUUUGAUCCUAGCUCAGGGUGAACGCUGGCUGUGUGGAUUAGUCAUGCAAGUCGAAUGGGUUUAGACCCAUGGCAGACGAGGCAGUAACAUGUAGGUACGUACCCUUAAGUCGGGCAUAAUCCAUCGAAAGGUGGGAUAAUUCCCGAUAGUCUCUACGGAGUAAAGAUUUAUCGCUUAAGGAACGGCCUGCAACUUAUCAGCUAGUUGGUACGGUAACGGCGUACCAAGGCUACGACGAGUAGGAGAGGUGAGAGCCUGACCUCCGCCGAUGGAACUGCGACACGGUCCAUACCCCUACGGGGGGCUGCAGACGAGAAUCUUCCGCAAUGCACGAAAGUGUGACGGAGCGACACAGCGUGGUGGAUGAAGACCGUAAGGUCGUAAACACCUUUUAUGAAGGAAGAAGUAUAUUGACAUUACUUCAUGAAUAAGGGGCUCCCAACUCUGUGCCAGCAGGAGCGGUAAUACAGAGGCCCCGAGCGUUACCCGGAAUUAUUGGGCGUAAAGGAUGUGUAGGCGGUUAUAUUAGUCAGAUGUUAAAUCUCUGGGCUCAACCCGGAACGCGCAUUUGAAACGGUAUAACUAGAGGAAAUGAGAGGUGUGUGGAACUCAGGGUGUAGGGGUGAAAUCCGUUGAUAUCCUGGGGAACACCAAAAGCGAAGGCAACACACUGGCAUUUUCCUGACGCUGAGACAUGAAAGCGUAGGUAGCGAAUGGGAUUAGAUACCCCAGUAGUCUACGCCCUAAACGUUGCCCGCUGGCUUUUUCGAGUAUCGACCCUCGAAGAGGCGAAGCUAACGCGUUAAGCGGGCCGCCUGGGUAGUACGGUCGCAAGACUAAAACUCAAAGGAAUAGACGGGGGCUCGUACAAGCAGUGGAUCAUGAGGCUUAAUUCGUCGAUAAACGAAAAACCUUACCAAGGUUAGAAAUCUAGCUGCAUUCCCGGAGAAACCUGGGAAGCCUUAGAGGGUGCUAGACAGGUGAUGCAUGGCCGUCGUCAGUUCGUGGCUUGAGCUGUUCCCUUAAGUGGGGUAACGAACGCAACCCACGUUGUCUGUUUUAUAUGUCAGGCGAGACUGCCCCCUCACGGGGGAGGAAGGUGUGGAUGACGCCAGGUCAGCAUGUCCCUAGAUACCUUGGGCUGCACUCGUGAUACAAUGGGUGGUUACAAAAUGGCGCAAUACUGUAAAGUGGAGCAAAUCACUAAAACCAUCCUUAGUUCGGAUUGAGGGCUGCAACUCGCCCUCAUGAAGUUGGAAUUGCUAGUAAUCGUGAAUCAGCACGUCACGGUGAAUACGUUCUCGAGCCUUGUACUCACCGCCCGUCAACUCAGGGGAGUCGGGGAUACCCGAAGCGGC